Molecule: ribosomal RNA, 375 nt
Filed under: uncultured bacterium
Lineage: Bacteria
Description: bacterial SSU rRNA
Rfam family: Bacterial small subunit ribosomal RNA
Source: RNAcentral
GACGAACGCUGGCGGCGUGCUUAACACAUGCAAGUCGAGCGGUAAGGCCCUUUCGGGGGUACACGAGCGGCGAACGGGUGAGUAACACGUGGGUGACCUGCCCUCAGCUCUGGGAUAAGCCUGGGAAACCGGGUCUAAUACUGGAUAUGACUCCAUGACGCAUGUUGUGGGGUGGAAAGCCUUGUGCGGCUGAGGAUGGGCCCGCGGCCUAUCAGCCUGUUGGUGGGGNGAUGGCCUACCAAGGCGACGACGGGUAGCCGGCCUGAGAGGGCGACCGGCCACACUGGGACUGAGACACGGCCCAGACUCCUACGGGAGGCAGCAGUGGGGAAUCUUGCGCAAUGGGCGAAAGCCUGACGCAGCGACGCCGCGUGA